GAUGAACGCUAGCUACAGGCUUAACACAUGCAAGUCGAGGGGCAUCAGGAAGAAAGCUUGCUUUCUUUGCUGGCGACCGGCGCACGGGUGAGUAACACGUAUCCAACCUGCCCUUUACUCGGGGAUAGCCUUUCGAAAGAAAGAUUAAUACCCGAUAGCAUAAUGAUUCCGCAUGGUUUCAUUAUUAAAGGAUUCCGGUAAAGGAUGGGGAUGCGUUCCAUUAGGUUGUUGGUGAGGUAACGGCUCACCAAGCCUUCGAUGGAUAGGGGUUCUGAGAGGAAGGUCCCCCACAUUGGAACUGAGACACGGUCCAAACUCCUACGGGAGGCAGCAGUGAGGAAUAUUGGUCAAUGGGCGGUAGCCUGAACCAGCCAAGUAGCGUGAAGGAUGAAGGCUCUAUGGGUCGUAAACUUCUUUUAUAUAAGAAUAAAGUGCAGUAUGUAUACUGUUUUGUAUGUAUUAUAUGAAUAAGGAUCGGCUAACUCCGUGCCAGCAGCCGCGGUAAUACGGAGGAUCCGAGCGUUAUCCGGAUUUAUUGGGUUUAAAGGGAGCGUAGGUGGACUGGUAAGUCAGUUGUGAAAGUUUGCGGCUCAACCGUAAAAUUGCAGUUGAUACUGUCAGUCUUGAGUACAGUAGAGGUGGGCGGAAUUCGUGGUGUAGCGGUGAAAUGCUUAGAUACCACGAAGAACUCCGAUUGCGAAGGCAGCUCACUGGACUGCAACUGACACUGAUGCUCGAAAGUGUGGGUAUCAAACAGGAUUAGAUACCCUGGUAGUCCACACAGUAAACGAUGAAUACUCGCUGUUUGCGAUAUACAGUAAGCGGCCAAGCGAAAGCAUUAAGUAUUCCACCUGGGGAGUACGCCGGCAACGGUGAAACUCAAAGGAAUUGACGGGGGCCCGCACAAGCGGAGGAACAUGUGGUUUAAUUCGAUGAUACGCGAGGAACCUUACCCGGGCUUAAAUUGCAGUGGAAUGAUGUGGAAACAUGUCAGUGAGCAAUCACCGCUGUGAAGGUGCUGCAUGGUUGUCGUCAGCUCGUGCCGUGAGGUGUCGGCUUAAGUGCCAUAACGAGCGCAACCCUUAUCUUUAGUUACUAACAGGUCAUGCUGAGGACUCUAGAGAGACUGCCGUCGUAAGAUGUGAGGAAGGUGGGGAUGACGUCAAAUCAGCACGGCCCUUACGUCCGGGGCUACACACGUGUUACAAUGGGGGGUACAGAAGGCAGCUAGCGGGUGACCGUAUGCUAAUCCCAAAAGCCUCUCUCAGUUCGGAUCGAAGUCUGCAACCCGACUUCGUGAAGCUGGAUUCGCUAGUAAUCGCGCAUCAGCCACGGCGCGGUGAAUACGUUCCCGGGCCU
RNAcentral lists this ribosomal RNA (1359 nucleotides) under uncultured bacterium. RNAcentral's name for it is "bacterial SSU rRNA". It matches the Rfam family "Bacterial small subunit ribosomal RNA", at positions 28 to 1381 of the family's 1533-position model. The record is from RNAcentral.